UGUGGCUUUCUGUACGUGGCCUUUAACAGGUUGAGGAAGUUUCCUUCUGUUCCUAGUGUACUGAAUAUUUUUAUUGUGAAGGAGUAUUGAGCUUUUUCAGUUGAAAUGAUCAUGUUUUCUUAACUGUUUCUGUGUAUUACCUUCAUUGAUUUUCAUAUGUUAAACCACUCUUGCAUUCCUGGAGAAAGUCCCACUUGGUUGUAAUAUAUACUAGUUGAGUAUCCCAUAUGAAAAUGCUCAGGAUGCAAGUGUUUCAGAUUUCAGAGCUGUAUGAAUUUUGGAAUAUUUGUGUAAGCUUUACUAGUUGAUCAUCCUUAAUCCAAAAGUUGGCUAUCUGAAAUGCUUUGAAAUCCAAAAUCUUUGUAGCAUCAUUGCUCAAAAAGUUUCAGAUUUCAAAUCAUUUUAGGUUUUUGGAUUGGGAAUGUAAUGUGAUUGGGCUUGUAAUGCUUUUGACGUGCUGUUAAAUUCAAUUUGUUAUUUUUGUUGAGGAUUUUUGCCUUUCUUUACAAGGGUUAUGACCUGUAGCUUUCUUUUCUUGUAGAAUCUGUCUAGCUUUGAUAUCAGGGUAUUGCUGGCAUUAUAGAAUGAAGUGUUCUCUCCAAUUUUUUGGAAUAGUUUGAGGGUUUGAAUUAAUUCUUUAAAUAUUUGUUAGAAUACCAGUGAAGUGAUCUGGUUCUAGGCUUUUCUUUAUUGGGGCAUUCUGCUAAUGAUAUAAUCCCCUUUCUUAUAAUAGUUCUUUUCAGAUGUUUAUCUCUUCUUCAAUCAGUUUUGGUAGUUUGUGUGUUUCUAGGAAUUUAUCCAUUUUAUCUUUGUUAUUCAAACUUGUUGGUAUACAGUUGUUCAUGGUAUUCUCCCCUCAUUCUUUUAUUUCUGUACAUUAAGCAGUAAUGUGUCUCUUUCAUUUCUAAUUUUAGUAAUUUGAAUCUUUUUUCCCCAUCGGUCCAAUUUAGUUUUAUCACUUUUGUUGAUCUAAUAAAAAGAACCAACUUUUGGUUUUGUUGACUCUCUCUUCUU
This 1014-nucleotide long non-coding RNA is filed under the name Marmota monax (woodchuck). Lineage: Eukaryota; Metazoa; Chordata; Mammalia; Rodentia; Sciuridae. The record is from RNAcentral.